GGUCCAGUCGGACCUCAUGGUCAAGCCUCGUGCGGAAAGUGCUUAAGGGUGACAAAUACACGUACAGGAGCUCAAACGACGGUGAGAAUCGUGGAUCAAUGCAGCAACGGCGGACUAGAUUUGGACAUUAACGUUUUUCGACAAAUCGAUACAGACGGAGUAGGAAAUCAACAAGGACACCUUAUUGUGAACUACCAAUUUGUUAAUUGUGGUGACAAUGUCAAUGUUCCUCUGCUUUCUGUAGUUGACAAAGAAUGAGAAACAACUACAUGGCUCUGUUUAGUCUAAUGGUUGUAUAAAAGUCAUCUUUGAUGAUUUAAAAAAAGAAUAAAAGAACAAAAUGAAAAAGGAAAAAAAAAGGUUCUUAGAAGGGGUUAGUCAAUUCCAUAUGAUCUGUUGAUCAUGAAUGUCUUCAUUUAAGAAAAAGAGAGUUGAAGUGUGUAUUGUAUUUGUGAUCAUUUUGUACUCGACUUUUUUGUAUUUUGAAUAAGAAAUACCAAGAACUCUUGUUUGGUGAUUGAA
Long non-coding RNA from Solanum stenotomum, 522 nucleotides. RefSeq lists it as uncharacterized. NCBI's taxonomy places the organism in Eukaryota, Viridiplantae, Streptophyta, Magnoliopsida, Solanales, Solanaceae. The record is from RefSeq and is a predicted model, not a curated record. The transcript has 2 exons.